UCCUGAGAAAACGGCUACCACAUCCAAGGAAGGCAGCAGGCGCGCAAAUUACCCAAUCCAGACAAUGGGAGGUGGUGACGAAAAGUACCGAGUGGCGACAAUGUUGCCAGCUUGGAAUGAAUGCAAUUUAAGCAAUUGAAUUGAGAAACAACUGGAGGGCAAGUCUGGUGCCAGCAGCCGCGGUAAUUCCAGCUCCAGUAGCCUAUCUCAAAGUUGCUGCGCUUAAAACGCUCGUAGUUGGAUCACGCACUGCGCGGGGGUGUGCGGCCGGGUGCGGGGUCGCCGAAUUUGCAGUUCGGGGCUUCGAAGUCACGGUCGCUAUGAGUCGCCGCGCAGUAAUUGCACGUGAGGGUGGCAGUUGGCCUUGAGUGCGUCGACAGUCGUGUCUCACGGGGUGUGCCUUGAGUAAAUCAGAGUGCUCAAAGCAGGCGAAUGCCUGAAUGUUGAUAGCAUGGAACGAACAAUCGUGUAGGGUGUGCGCUGAGCACGGCGCGUCGUUUGACCGCCGCAGCGCACGACACCGACCGCCAAUGACGGAUGUUGGUUCCGUAUUGGGGUACCGAUUAAGAGGAGCGGUUGGGGGCAUUGGUAUUUGGCAGCGAGAGGUGAAAUUCUUGGACCUGCCAAGGACUAACAAAUGCGAAGGCAUCUGUCCAGACCGUAUCCAUUAAUCAAGAACGAAAGUGAGAGGUUCGAAAGCGAUCAGAUACCGCCCUAGUUCUCACUGUAAACGAUGCCGACCCGGGAUCAGUUUGGAGCCAUUUUCCACGCUCGAGGUUGGUCCCCCUGGGAAACCUUAAGUUUUUCGGUUGCGGGGGGAGUAUGGUCGCAAGGCUGAAACUUAAAGGAAUUGACGGAAGGGCACCACCAGGGGUGGAGCCUGCGGCUUAAUUUGACUCAACACGGGAAAACUUACCUGGGUCCGGACAUCAAAAGGAUAGACAGACUAAAAGAUCUUUCUUGAUAUGGCUGAUUGAUGGGUGCAAUGGCCGUUCUUAGUUCGUGAAGUGAUUUGUCAGGUUGAUUCCGGUAACGAACGAGACCACGAUCUCCACUUGAGGAGCCGGAGAAGGCGGCGCUCUGGUGCUACCCGGCAACGGGGAGCGCUUUUGCGUCGCUCAAGGCGGUUCUGUGGUUGCGGCGGUGGGGCGUGUAACAGCGCCUGUCGCAGCGGCCGCGGGGCUCCCUCCGGUCAUACAGUGUGGCGCCUCCCGGGGUGACGUGCUGUGUCGUGGAGAGACAACGGAACAUAACAAAAUCCGAGGAAGUGUGGCUAUAACAGGUCUGUGAUGCCCUUAGAUGUUCAGGGCUGCACGCGCGCUACAAUGACGAUGACAACGAGUUUCUGGAUCGGCAGAUUCGGGUAAUCUUGCAAUCAUCGUCGUGAUGGGGACUGAUGUUUGUAAAGACAUCACGAAAGAGGAAUCCCUAGUACACGUAGUUCAUGAAACUGCGUGGAUUUAGUCCCUUGCCCUUUGUA
This 1480-nucleotide ribosomal RNA is filed under the name Henneguya tucunarei. Its description in RNAcentral is "SSU rRNA". It matches the Rfam family "Eukaryotic small subunit ribosomal RNA", at positions 394 to 1664 of the family's 1831-position model. Lineage: Eukaryota; Metazoa; Cnidaria; Myxozoa; Bivalvulida; Myxobolidae. The record is from RNAcentral.